RNAcentral lists this ribosomal RNA (760 nucleotides) under uncultured cyanobacterium. Its description in RNAcentral is "bacterial SSU rRNA". It matches the Rfam family "Bacterial small subunit ribosomal RNA", at positions 226 to 1000 of the family's 1533-position model. Lineage: Bacteria; Bacillati; Cyanobacteriota. The record is from RNAcentral.
UGAGCCCGCGUCAGAUUAGGUAGUUGGUAGGGUAAUGGCCUACCAAGCCUGUGAUCUGUAGCUGAUUUGAGAGAAUGAUCAGCCACACUGGGAUUGAGAUACGGCCCAGACUCCUACGGGAGGCAGCAGUGGGGAAUUUUCCGCAAUGGGCGCAAGCCUGACGGAGCAACGCCGCGUGAGGGAUGAAGGCCUCUGGGCUGUAAACCUCUUUUAUCAAGGAAGAAGAUCUGACGGUACUUGAUGAAUAAGCCACGGCUAAUUCCGUGCCAGCAGCCGCGGUAAUACGGGAGUGGCAAGCGUUAUCCGGAAUUAUUGGGCGUAAAGCGUCCGCAGGCGGUCUUGUAAGUCUGUCGUUAAAGCGUGGAGCUUAACUCCAUUUAAGCGAUGGAAACUGUAAGACUAGAGUGUGGUAGGGGCAGAGGGAAUUCCCGGUGUAGCGGUGAAAUGCGUAGAUAUCGGGAAGAACACCAGUGGCGAAGGCGCUCUGCUGGGCCAUAACUGACGCUCAUGGACGAAAGCCAGGGGAGCGAAAGGGAUUAGAUACCCCUGUAGUCCUGGCCGUAAACGAUGAACACUAGGUGUCGGGGGAAUCGACCCCCUCGGUGUCGUAGCCAACGCGUUAAGUGUUCCGCCUGGGGAGUACGCACGCAAGUGUGAAACUCAAAGGAAUUGACGGGGGCCCGCACAAGCGGUGGAGUAUGUGGUUUAAUUCGAUGCAACGCGAAGAACCUUACCAGGGUUUGACAUCCUGCGAAUCUCU